UCUAAGCACAAGCCCAAGAAUGGUAAAGCCGCGAAUGGCUCAUUACAACAGCCAUAGUUUACUGGAUCUUACAUUCCUACUUGGAUAACUGUGGUAAUUCUAGAGCUAAUACACGCACGAAAGCUCUGACCUUACGGAAGGAGCGCAUUUAUUAGAACAAAACCAAUCGGACCGCAAGGUCCGCCAAUUGGUGAAUCUGAAUAACUUUGCCGAUCGCAUGGUCUCGUACCGGCGACGUAUCUUUCAAAUGUCUGCCUUAUCAACUUUAGAUGGUAGUUUACACGCCUACCAUGGUUGUAACGGGUAACGGAGAAUAAGGGUUCGACUCCGGAGAGGGAGCCUGAGAAAUGGCUACCACA
Molecule: ribosomal RNA, 359 nt
Filed under: Nematoda environmental sample
Lineage: Eukaryota; Metazoa; Nematoda
Description: SSU rRNA
Rfam family: Eukaryotic small subunit ribosomal RNA
Source: RNAcentral